AGAAACCUCAUUUCUUCCCCCUUCUUUCUCUCUCUACUCUAACUUCUCUCUACUCUCCUCUACCUUCUCCCUACACCUCCGGCCACCGUUAAACACCUAGAGCCACCACCCAAACCACCUUGUAACCUACUUCUCCGGUUGAUCUUCAAUCAGAACCUUCAAAUAUUCAUCAAUCCAACCCACAAAACCCUUAAUAUCAAGAACCCUAGCCCUUCAACUAUGAAUCCUAACUCUUCUCGAUGAACCAUAACCCUAAACCAAACUCAGAACAUACUCAAACUCAUGAACGCUAGCCCUUCCCUAUGAAUCAUAACCCUCUUCUAUGAAACUUAACCCUAAACCUAACCUAGAAAUAGUCCUAACCUGACCUAAUCAACCUCAAAACUUCAGAAACUCAUAGACCCGACCCUAGUAAACACUAAUUCCCCUAUCAAACUCAAAAAUCAAACAACAAUCCUUUCAAAACCCCAACCCUAAAAUCCCUUAUGUUAACCCGCAACCCCAAUCACAUACAACAAAAACAUAUAUGGAAUGCAUGCAAAUAAAUCAAAGCAGGACAUAUCAAAGAGAAUCAAAAUUGUAACCAAACAAUCUACGAGAGUGAGGAUUCCUCCGGUUGUAAGGUACCAAUGACAAUAAGCUAUGAGGUUGAUCUCAAAUUAAUUGGGGUUUCAAUAUGAAACCCUUAACACUUCAAUCAAAGCUUUGAUGUUUAGCUGGGAUCGCUGCAGCAACUUAGGUUUUAGGAUUCUUUUUUCAUACCCCUUUUUUGAAUUAGGUUUAGGAUUUUUUAGAUUAUAUUAGGGUUAGAAUUUUAAUUAGAUAGUUUGAAUUAGGAAAGUUGUAAUUCUAAUUGAUUUGUAUUUUAGAGUUUUGAAUUGUAACUGCAAUGUAUUGGGUCCGAUUUUGUAUGUAUAUUCUAACUUUUGAUGUAUCUGUCAUAUGAAAUUGGAAAGAUUUGAUUGAAUUUUAAAUUUGGAUGUUUUUUAUUCUUUCUGUUUUCAUUUGUG
RNAcentral lists this long non-coding RNA (1010 nucleotides) under Lathyrus oleraceus (garden pea). Its description in RNAcentral is "Pisum sativum (pea) long non-coding RNA (PSAT_LNC005408)". Lineage: Eukaryota; Viridiplantae; Streptophyta; Magnoliopsida; Fabales; Fabaceae. The record is from RNAcentral.